CCUUUUUAGAGACCCUGCUGCUAAUUGGAGGGACUCAAUUGCAUUUUUUUCUUCUCCUCACCCUCCUAAUCCAGAAGAAAUUCCAGCAGUGUGCAGGUACUUAAGUAAUACUAAUUUUGAUGGUAAUAAUUUCAAAUGUAUGUGGACUUUUUCAAUUGUUUAUGAUGUAAUAAUCAUGUAUUUGCAGAGAUAUAGUGGUUGAAUAUACAGAGAAAAUAAGGGCAUUAGGCUUAACAAUGUUUGAGCUAUUCUCAGAGGCUCUUGGCCUUCCUACAUCUUACCUGAAUGAAUUGGACUCUAUAGAGGGAGAAUUUCAUUUGUGUCACUACUAUCCACCAUGCCCUGAACCUGAAUUAACCAUGGGUACUUCAAAGCACACCGAUAUUAGCUUCAUGACAAUUCUUCUACAGGACCAUAUUGGUGGUCUUGAAGUUCUUCAUAAGAAUCAGUGGGUUAAUGUUCAUCCAGUGCAUGGAUCUCUUGUUAUAAAUAUUGGGGAUCUUCUACAAGUAAGAGUUGCAAACACAUGCAUAUCUUUUUUGAUUUUCCUUGAAGUGACUUGUCAGUCAAUCUCUCAAUUUUGUUCUCUUGUUGUUCCUUUAAAAUCCAACAUUUACAAUGGUAUAAUAUAGUCCAACAUGCAACAUAACAAAUGUUUUAUGUAUGAAGUCUUGGUGUUUCUGUCAGCUAUUGUUAUGAUUUAUCAAAGUAAAAAUCUAUAACAUAAGCAACUUUUAUGGUUAUAUUUUAUUUUUCUCUUUGUUGAUGUAGCUUUUGACAAAUGACAAGUUUAUCAGUGUGUAUCAUCGAGUCUUAUCAAGGGAUAUAGGACCCCGAAUUUCAGUAGCAAGCUUCUUUACAAGCUCAUUUCCACAUUACGCAUCAAAGAUUGUUGGUCCAAUAAAAGAAUUGUUAUCAAAAGACAAUCCACCAAUCUAUAAGGACACUACUAUAGAAGAUGUCGCAGCCCAUUAUCAUAAGAAAGGCCUUGACGGAAAUCGUUCCUUGCAUCCCUUUAGGUUGUGCAAUGAUUGAGAAUUCUAUUGGAGCAACUCUAGUUCUCUAAAAGCACAUUUGGUUGUAGUAUGUGUUUUAUCAUGGUUAGCUUGUGCCUAUGAUUAUCAUAUUUUAAGUAUCUUGUGAAUUUUAAAUAAACAAUUUCAAGCUCCAAAAAUAGAAUAAGGUUAAUUCACCCUUAAGUAUUUGUAUUUGUAUUGCACAAGAUGAAAUAAUCUUAUAGUUUCUGUAUUAUGAUAAUAUGACAUAAACUACUGAGUAUAUUAUUCUAGAUAUUAUUCUCAUAGUACUUAUAAACUUAUUUUGUUUUAUUUAGUAAUUAUGUCAACCUAAACGUUAAGAUAUCAAAUACAUUCAAAAAUUGUUUUAUUUAAUAGUUAAAUUUGUUGAUAAGUUUAAAUGAUAUGUGAUUUAGGAAUUUUCACAAACAUAUUGUCUCAUGGUUAUGGUAGAAAUGGUAGAAAAAUUGAAUAAAAAGAUGAAAUGAUACUUCAUAAAAGGUAAUUGACUCUUAUUUCAUGGAGAAAUAAUAAAGGAAACGUAUUACUUUAUAAAUUCAAAUCAAAAUACUUCCUUAAAAAUAAGCAUUCUAUAUAUUCAAUUUGCAUCAUCAUUGAUGUUACAUAUAUUUUAAUAUCCAUAAUUCUAUUUAAUACAUUUAAAUUAGAAAUCUUCAUAGAUUGUUAUCCUAAGUAAAGACAACACAAAAAGUUGUUUACUUUUGAAUAAUGAAUCUUGUGAUCUCAUAAUAUGUAAUCUAAAUAUAAUUUAGGUUAAACGUUGCAGUCAUGGAAAUUGGAUAGAGCAAUAUUUAUUUUUCAGUCAACAUUUCUUUUGUACCUUUGUCUCUGCUGAUGUAUAUGAUUCAAUCAUCUGGCCAGAAUUUCUAUUGGAGAGUCGGCAUCUUUGUCUUAAACAACUCUAAUCCAUCAAAAGAAACCUCACAUACACAUCUUAUUUAUGGUUGUCUUUGUCAAGUGGGUCUAUGAUGAAAACAGUAUGUCUUGCUAUCACUAAAUUAAACAUGGUUUUCUACUUUCUUUUCUCAUCACUUCUUCAUUAUCCAAUCUCCAUUUUCAUACCAAAUUCUCUUUUGUAAUCAAUCAUCAUCUUCUUCAUUACUCCUUUGCUGCACAAAGACAUCGAAGAAUCAUCUUCAUCCUUCCACAGAACAGAUUCAUCGUAUUCUUCAGGUAAGAGCACUGAAUUAUAAUAUAUAAUAUAGAAUCACAAAUUACAACAUAUAGACAGGAACUUUGUUCUCAUCCCUUUAAUUCACCAACACGCGAUUCUGUUACUCAUCUUCUUCAUCAUUCAUUUCUCCUUUCUUCUUUCUUCUUCAAUUCUUCAUUCCGAACAUAACAGAGGAGGAGGAGAAUCUCUUAAUUUUCUUCCUUCACUACGUUAAUUCAUAACUACUUGAGAAUAAUAUCCAGGACUUCAAUUUCCAGCACAAUCACUAAACACUUCAACCUCUUCUACAACACAAGAAACUUCAACUUUCCAAGUCUCAACCAACCCAUCAAGCACACCCUAACCUUUAUAUUUAACCUCCGGUGCUAUAAUUUUCCAUUCACCUAACACAAAAUCCUUCACCCAAUUUCUAACAAUUUCCACGCAUAGAACAAAGAGAGAGUAGAAGAUUGGAUAACAAUGGAAAAGUGUGGCAGUGAGACAGACUGUGAUGGAGACGCAUUAGAGCCCUCCGUCUUUGAUUUGUUGUGAACUUAAAAGGGUAGCAGAAACAGGUGGAACCACGCGCAGGUGAAUCGCAGUGACGGCGACUAUGGUUGUCGCCGUUGAUGCCUCUAAUCGUGGAAGUGACGCAGGAAUUCGUGAUUGGCCGUUUGGUGGUGUCGCCGGAGAUCUAGAGGAGGAGUUUCGCGUGUUGAACGGGGUAAAAAGCAAAGGUUCGUGCGACGAUGGCAGCAGCUCAAGCUCUGAUUGACGUCACCGGAUACACCCUGGCCGGCUGUGAGAAGCGCAACCAUGGUGGACCUGGAAGAAGGAGGAAAUCCAUGUCAGCGACGUUCGCAGCUCCGGUCACGGCGAGGUGAGGUUGCAGAGCCAUGUUUUCACGAUUUGCAGAUCUGAAAGAAGGAAGAGAUGCGGCGACGACGCCGGCAAGGUUUUCCGGAGGCGACUGGUGCCGCCGCCGAUGACUCUAGCGAACUGGGUAAGGCACGAUGGCUGCCCCUGGAAGCUGGUGUUGAGGUUUCGUGAGGCCAAAGGAAAUGGAAGUGGAGGUGCGCGAUGCCUCUUGCGACGGCGUGGCGAGCUUCGGUCAACGGCGUGGCAACGGCCAGGUGGAGGAGAUGCUAGGAAGAAAUGGUAAGCGGCUACCGGAGAGGUGGAGAUGUGUGGAAACCAAUAAAUAGAAAAGAGAGGUGGAAGAAGAAUGAACUUGGUGUAUUCUGUAUUUAGGCCAAGGAGUAAUAAUACAUUAUACACUUUAAUAUAAAGAUAAAAUAGUUCAAAAAAUAUAAAAUUUUAUAGUAAAAAGAGAAAAAAAUAAGUAUAAAUAAUAUCAAAUAAAUGAAAAAAAUUUAGACGUGUCAAAAAUAUCGUUUCUCUUACACAUCUUAUCUAAUGCUUCGCACUUCCAUAUGAGUGAGUCUUUUUUAUGUUUGUUACUGAUACAUAGUUGUUUAUACACAUCCAUAAUCUUAUUUUUAGUUUUACCCUUAAAAUUUUAAACAUUGAAGUGAAAAUAAUAAAAUAAUAAUAAUAAUAUUCAUCUUUUUCAGAAUUUGAUCGUUACACAUAGUAAUUGAGAUAGCAAGGAGUGUUUUGGACCAAUCAAAAUUUCAAACAAAGUCUUUAGUUGGAAAUAAGUCAAUAAGGUAAGAAGAACUUAUUAAUUUUUAUAAGUCCUAAAUAUUGAUAUGUUUUAUGAUUGUGAUUUGACUGGACUAAAUUAGUUAUUUAAUGAAAUGUUGUAAUGAUGAUAAAGAUAUUGAAAAUAUAUAUAUAUUUAUAUAUAUAUAUAUAUAUAUAUAUAUAUAUAUAUAUAUAUAUAUAUAUAUAUAUAUAUAUAUAUAUGGGUGUGUGUGAUAUUGAGAAUUUACUAAUUUCUUGUACUCGAAUGAGAUUUGGUUAUGAAAGUCGAAAGAAGUUUCAUAUGAGCAAGAUCAAUAUGAAAUGAUAUUGUGACUUAAAAGAUUAUAAGAAACUAAGUUUGUUAGAUGCUUUUAAGAUAUAUGUUUAGGUUGAAAUCUAUUACAAAGAGACUUUACAAGAAUCUACAUUUUUAGAAUUUGAGUAUUAUAUGUUUAUUUGUUUAAUGUUGAAAUAAUUAAUAUCUUAUUUGAAGUAGAAUUAUAUAAAAUUUAUGAUAGAACUUAUGAAAAUAAUUAAGCUUGCCCUUCAUUUCUUUUGUGGUGUAUUGAUAUCCACCUACAAAUCACGCAUGUGUAUUAUGUACGAGCAGAUAUCUUGGUAUAUAUAUAUAUAUAUAUAUAUAUAAGUGUAUUUAAGAGAUUCUCUUAGCAAUGUAAUAUUUAUAUAGAUUAACACUUAUGUACUGCUGGUUAUUAUUUUAGCAGAGACUCUAAUUAGUAGAAUUAUCUACUAAUUAGGUCGUUGUUACAAAUACUAAUUCCCUUUACGUUUGAUGGGAUUGGUAACGAGUUACCCAACCAUGUGCUAGCAAGUCCAUAUUUUAAAUAAAAAAGAAGUCCUCUAGAAAAGUAACAUGUGUCUAUUCAUUCAAUAAUAGGGGUUAUCACUGUCCCCUUCAUCUAAAUACUCUAUCUUUUAGUUAUUUCGUAUAUGUAACACAUGUAGUAAAACUUGUAUUUUAAACCAGUUUCUUGGUAUGGCGACCAUAAGCAAAAUUUUGUUAGAGGCAAAGAGUAGUAAGGAUUACUCCUAUGAUAGAAUAGCUGAAGUCAAGGCUUUUGAUGAAACAAAACUUGGGGUGAAAGGGUUGUUAGAUUCUGGGCUCACAAAGAUCCCGCGAAUGUUCUACAAUGACAAGGUGAAGGACAACACUGAAACCACACCAACUGACUUAAAGUUUAAUGUCCCCAUCAUAGACCUGAAAGACAUAGACACAAACUCAUACCUGCGUGUUGAAACACUUGACAAGAUUAGAAGGGCAUGCAAGGAAUGGGGAUUUUUCCAAGUACUGAAUCAUGGUAUUGAUGUUGAGGUUUUAGAGGAGAUGUUAUGUGGAAUUCGAAGGUUUCAUGAACUAGAUGCUGAGGUGAGGAAAACCUUUUACUCAAGGGAUCAAAGUAAGAAAGUUAGAUAUUUCUCCAAUGGUAGCCUUUUUAGAGACCCUGCUGCUGACUGGAGGGACACGUUAGCGUUCUUUUCUUCUCCUCACGCUCCUAAUCCAGAAGAAAUACCAGCAGUGUGCAGGUACUUAUACAAUACUAAUUUUGAUUAUAAUAAUUUCAAUAUAAAAAAGGUAUGUGUACUUUUUCAAUUGUCUAUGAUGUAAUAAUUAUGUAUUUGCAGAGAUAUUGUGGUUGAAUAUACAGAGAAAAUAAGGGCAUUAGGCUUAACAAUGUUUGAGCUAUUCUCAGAGGCUCUUGGCCUUCCUACAUCUUACUUGAAUGAAUUGGACUCUGUAAAAGGAGGAUUUCAUUUGUGUCACUACUAUCCAUCAUGCCCUGAACCUGAAUUAACUAUGGGUGCUUCAAAGCACACUGAUAUUAGCUUCAUGACAAUUCUUCUACAAGACCAGAUUGGUGGUCUUCAAGUUCUUCAUGAGAAUCAGUGGGUUGAUGUUCAUCCAGUGCAUGGAUCACUUGUUAUAAACAUUGGGGAUCUUCUUCAGGUAAGAAAUGUAAAC
This 5818-nucleotide long non-coding RNA is filed under the name Vigna radiata. Its description in RNAcentral is "long non-coding RNA (VRAD_LNC001382)". The record is from RNAcentral. Lineage: Eukaryota; Viridiplantae; Streptophyta; Magnoliopsida; Fabales; Fabaceae.